This 262-nucleotide long non-coding RNA is filed under the name Elaeis guineensis (African oil palm). RNAcentral's name for it is "long non-coding RNA (EGUI_LNC037190)". The record is from RNAcentral. Lineage: Eukaryota; Viridiplantae; Streptophyta; Magnoliopsida; Arecales; Arecaceae.
UUGGUUCCACCAAUUGGUAAGCGAUCAUUAUCAUUUUAUUUAUUUUAAUUUUUUUCAAUUUAUUCUUUUUAUAUUAUACAGGUCAUGCAAGAGGAUGAAUCCAUACCUAACAGGCUAAAACUAUUAGGUUACAGGCCAACAAAAUACAUGACAUAUUGUAAUGGCUGUAAUAUAAAUGGUUUCAAAUAUCACACCCAGUAAUAUUGAUAUCAUAAGAGUAUAAUGAGCAGCCAUAUAUAUAUAAAGGGCAGCUGGUGGGUAG